This is a long non-coding RNA of Gopherus flavomarginatus (Mexican gopher tortoise), 526 nucleotides long. RefSeq lists it as uncharacterized. The transcript is spliced from 3 exons. The record is from RefSeq and is a predicted model, not a curated record. NCBI's taxonomy places the organism in Eukaryota, Metazoa, Chordata, Testudines, Testudinidae.
AGCAGCUGAGCGAUGGUUCUUCAGAGGACUUGGAGGUUUUGGACACCGACAGCUCUGAAGGACCGAGUGGUUUGGGCCCGAUCUGUUUUUGCUCAGACACAAAACCAGAUGCUUCACAGAAUGCCGAAAGAGCGGAGGACGCUUAUUCUAUAGCAAAUGGACAAGAUCUUUUGUCCAACGAGGGCCACAAGCACUCCUGGGAAGAGUUGGAAGGACUUUGGCCUACUGAGGCCCCACAAGACUGGUGGCUGACCUCUGAAUGUCCAGGGAGACUGAAGUGUUCUCCUGCUGGCUUUUGUAUGUUACAAUUCCUGACAUCUGAUUUGUGUCCAUUUAUUCUUUUACAUAGAGAGGGCUUGAAUAGGGACUGGCUCACUACAAAAGCAAUUUUCCCUCUCUUGGUAUUGACACUCCCUCAUCAAUUAUUGGGAGUGAACCACAUCCACCCUGAUUGAAUUGGCCCUGUCAACACUGGUUCUCCACUUGUAAGGUAACUCCCUUCUCUUCACGUCAGUAUAUUUACGCC